Molecule: ribosomal RNA, 250 nt
Filed under: Laccaria sp.
Lineage: Eukaryota; Fungi; Basidiomycota; Agaricomycetes; Agaricales; Hydnangiaceae
Description: partial large subunit ribosomal RNA
Source: RNAcentral
CGUGAAAUUGUUGAAAGGGAAACGCUUGAAGUCAGUCGCGUUGGCCAGGGAUCAACCUUGCUUUUUUUUGCUUGGCUUAUUUCCUGGUCAAUGGGUCAGCAUCAAUUUUGACUGAUGGAAAAAGUUCAAGGGAAUGUGGCAUCCUUUGGAUGUGUUAUAACCUUUGUUCGCAUACAUUAGUUGGGAUUGAGGAACUCAGCACGCCGAAAGGCCGGGUUAUUAACCACGUACGUGCUUAGGAUGCUGGCAU